Molecule: ribosomal RNA, 253 nt
Filed under: uncultured bacterium
Lineage: Bacteria
Description: partial 16S ribosomal RNA
Rfam family: Bacterial small subunit ribosomal RNA
Source: RNAcentral
UACAGAGGGUGCAAACGUUGCUCGGAAUUAUUGGGCGUAAAGCGCGUGUAGGCGGCUUGUUAAGUCGGUUGUGAAAACCCAUGGCUCAACCAUGGAAGGGCGUCCGAAACUGGCAAGCUUGAGUCCCGACGAGGAUGGCGGAAUUCCCAGUGUAGAGGUGAAAUUCGUAGAUAUCAUCAGGAAUACCGGAGGCGAAGGCGGCUCACUGGGACCUAACUGACGCUGAGGAACGAAAGCUAGGGGAGCAAACGGG